GUGCUCGCUUCGGCAGCAGCACAUAUACUAAAAUUGGAAUGAUACAGAGAUUAGUGUGACCCCUGUGCAAGAAUGACACACAAAUUCGUGAAGUGUUCCAUAUUUUG
Molecule: small nuclear RNA, 107 nt
Organism: Suncus etruscus (white-toothed pygmy shrew)
Lineage: Eukaryota; Metazoa; Chordata; Mammalia; Eulipotyphla; Soricidae
Source: RefSeq, a predicted model, not a curated record